This 2515-nucleotide long non-coding RNA is filed under the name Daphnia magna. Its description in RNAcentral is "uncharacterized LOC123470057". The record is from RNAcentral. Lineage: Eukaryota; Metazoa; Arthropoda; Branchiopoda; Diplostraca; Daphniidae.
GCGAGCGAGGAAGUCGAUUUAUGCACGUUGCAACUCACUGGUGGCAGCCACUCGACUGAGUCACUCGUUGGCUUGUUGGGAACACUAAAAGAGGACUGAAAACCGACUUCAAAUAGAUCUACAAGAAAAGGAUUGCCUGAGAAAAUGUUCUUUCAUCGGCUUCACUUGUUCUCUCCAGAGGGAAAUCUUUGUUAUCGCAAGUUCGAAUCAUCGAGGGAGUAGUGGACUGUCUACCGCAAAAGGUUUCGUAACGUUAGACUCUUCUUUCACACGCCCGCCAAGGUUAUAGUAUAUUCCCAAAUGUUAAGACAAAUGUUUGAAAAGACAAUAUCUCAGCACCAAUGCGAUCAUUCGCAAGUGUCACUUUUAGAAACUAACAUCUGCGAUCCAAUUUUUUGUUGUUGUUGUUGUUGCUAACUACUGAUAAACUGAAAAAGCUUCUACCAUUCCCAACGUUCUGACACUAAACAACAGAAUUUUUAAUUUGAAACAUAGAAGAAGACAAAACGAAAAGAAAUUGGAUGUUGUAUUUCUUAUCGUUUUCCAACUAGACACUGGUUCGUUUGUUCAGUUGUUUGGUCUCGGCUGCGCGAGGCCGUCCUUUAGCUCCUGCUCCGGUGGUGUAUGCUUGAUUCCACGGCUGUUCUUCCGCAGAGCUGAAUAAAGUAAAGACAAUCAACUCCACCAACAAAAUAGCAGCCGUCGUAAAGAAGACAAUUUGCCACGAAUUGACGGUUUGCUGUUCGUGAGAAAUAAGAGAUAUUUAAUUCAUUUCUUGAUUGUUGAUAUGCUAUUAAUUUUGUGCUCCACGCUUACAUUUCCGUGAGUCAGGGCACCGACAAAGACGGGCACUAUGAACCCUGGAAUGGUGGCGGCUGUAUUGGUGAGAGCGAGCAAAGUUCCGGCGUAGUUGGAUGCCAAGUCUGUAGGAUUAGCCAAUAUGCCACAAUACAUGGCAGCCAUGAACAUGGUGCCUAGAGACAUGAGAACGAUGGCGGUAAUUCGGUCGCAUCCGGCCAAACUAACACCGAUGAAACAUAAUGCCGGCAGUAGCGAAGCUUUGCAAAAAUACCAGUCACAAUCGAUCAGUAAAAUUCCAAAGUAAUAAUUCUAUUUAGAACCACGCUCUAUUAUACUCACCGACAGCCGUAGACAAUUUGCGGACGGUCGUAGUGUUGAUCCAUUUCUUGUUUUUGCUGUAGUCCAUCAAGUUACUCCAAAUGAUACUGAACACCCACAGGCAAAGGUAAGGCACAGCGGACAGCAGAGAGUUCUGUUGAUCAUCAGCAAUCAAAUAUUAAGACUGUUGUGGAUUCUGAUCGGUUAGCAUUACUUUGCCAAUGUUGAAACGAAGGAUGUGUUUCAUGUAAGUUGGCAAUUCAACGAGUAGCAUGUACCAUCCGAAAUUGUUGCACAUGUGCGCAACUAGAAGGGCCCAGAACGGAACUGAAGUCGCAAUGGCCUUCCACGGCACGGGUAAGUUCUAGCGUUAAACAUUAGCGAUAAAUUGUGAAGAUCUUUCGUAAUGUGAAAGUAAUUAAGAGGUCGGAAUUUUAGAGAACGUACCGGACGUUUAGCACCACCAUUUUCCAUGCACUUCUCAAAGAGAUCUCGCUCAGCUGGAUGGAUGCGUGGAUGAUCCUUGGGCGAGUCAAAGACGAGUAAGAUCCACAAGAUACACCAAAUGGAUCCUAGUCCUCCUUGAACGUAAAAACUGACUCCCACCCGAUUUUUUCAGCCAAAAUUCCAGAGAAAGGCAGAGCAAUGACAGUACCCAAAGACAUUCCUGAAAAAAAACAAAAAAAAAAACAGCCAAAUGUAAUCAGAGAAACGAGUGCGGAUCGUACGGAAAACUAACCAGCGUAGACAAGUGAAGAUAUUUUGUUGCGCUCGUUUGGCGGUGCCCAUUUAGACAACAACACUUGGAGGGCCGGCAUAGACACUCCCUGUUAAACAAUGUUUACAUAUCUGAUCGUUGAGUAUAAUGAAUUCACCAUCGAAUUUCACGGGGAAAAACAAACUGGAAGAGUGAACGUACGGCGCCCAAUCCUUCGAUGAAACGGACGACCAAAACGGCAAUGUAACUGAUAUUGGCAGCCACGGGCGUCAAAAGAGUAAACAGUACAUUGACAAAGACGGAAGCCCAGACGACCCAUUUCGCUGAAAACAUUUCGGCCAUUCUUCCGCCCGGAAUUUGGGUCACAAUGUAGCCCCAAAAAUACGCGCCAAGUAUCAAUCCUUGGAUCGGUUCCGGCCAUGCGAACGGGCCAUCCUGCGUUUAUAAAAUACUUCCUUUACCAUUCCUGUUUAGAAAAAAACAGUUCAUACUAUGUUAUAGAAGCAAUUGUUUGUCUCACCUGAGAGGAAUCUGUCUGGUUUGUAUUUGCAUUUGCUGGGCAAGCGAAUUCCGAAUUGCUACUCUCGUUCAAAUGGGUAUCAUUGUUAUGGCUAUCGUAUGUUAAUGCCAUCUCGCUUAGAGCUGUACUGUUGACCUAUAUACACAAUCAGUGACGAA